This 446-nucleotide ribosomal RNA is filed under the name uncultured bacterium. Its description in RNAcentral is "partial 16S ribosomal RNA". It matches the Rfam family "Bacterial small subunit ribosomal RNA", at positions 338 to 795 of the family's 1533-position model. The record is from RNAcentral.
CCUACGGGAGGCUGCAGUCGAGAAUCAUGCACAAUGGGGGAAACCCUGAUGGAGCGACGCCGCGUGGGGGAAUGAAGGUCUCCGGAUUGUAAACCCCUGUCAUGGGGGCGCAAAUUAAAAAGAUAGUACCACAAGAGGAAGAGACGGCUAACGCUGUGCCAGCAGCCGCGGUAAUACAGAGGUCUCAAGCGUUGUUCGGAAUCACUGGGCGUAAAGCGUGCGUAGGCGGUUUCGUAAGUCGGGUGUGAAAGGCGCGGGCUCAACCCGCGGACGGCACAUGAUACUGGAAGACUAGAGUAAUGGAGGGGGAACCGGAAUUCUCGGUGUAGCAGUGAAAUGCGUAGAUAUCGAGAGGAACACUCGUGGCGAAGGCGGGUUCCUGGACAUUAACUGACGCUGAGGCACGAAGGCCAGGGGAGCGAAAAGGAUUAGAUACCCUUGUAGUC